GAUGAACGCUGGCGGCGUGCCUAAUACAUGCAAGUCGAGCGAACAGACGAGGAGCUUGCUCCUCUGACGUUAGCGGCGGACGGGUGAGUAACACGUGGAUAACCUACCUACAAGACUGGGAUAACUUCGGGAAACCGGAGCUAAUACCGGAUAAUAUAUUGAACCGCAUGGUUCAAUAGUGAAAGACGGUUUUGCUGUCACUUAUAGAUGGAUCCGCGCCGCAUUAGCUAGUUGGUAAGGUAACGGCUUACCAAGGCAACGAUGCGUAGCCGACCUGAGAGGGUGAUCGGCCACACUGGAACUGAGACACGGUCCAGACUCCUACGGGAGGCAGCAGUAGGGAAUCUUCCGCAAUGGGCGAAAGCCUGACGGAGCAACGCCGCGUGAGUGAUGAAGGUCUUCGGGUCGUAAAACUCUGUUAUUAGGGAAGAACAAAUGUGUAAGUAACUAUGCACGUCUUGACGGUACCUAAUCAGAAAGCCACGGCUAACUACGUG
Molecule: ribosomal RNA, 497 nt
Filed under: uncultured bacterium
Lineage: Bacteria
Description: partial 16S ribosomal RNA
Rfam family: Bacterial small subunit ribosomal RNA
Source: RNAcentral